GCACUGAUGGUGUAGGGGUUAAGCGUGCAACAAUAUACAGAGGCUACAGCCCUCGAAGCGGCUGUCCUGGGUUCGAGUCCCAGACCUAGUGACA
Non-coding RNA from Characodon lateralis, 94 nucleotides. The record is from the annotation of a GenBank genome assembly. NCBI's taxonomy places the organism in Eukaryota, Metazoa, Chordata, Actinopteri, Cyprinodontiformes, Goodeidae.